UACGUAGGCAGCGAGCGUUGUUCGGAGUUACUGGGCGUAAAGGGUGUGUAGGCGGUUGUUUUAAGUUUGGUGUGAAAUCUCCCGCUCAACUGGGAGGGUGCGCCGAAUACUGAAUGACUUGGAGUGCGGGAGAGGAGAGUGGAAUUCCUGGUGUAGCGGUGAAAUGCGUAGAUAUCAGGAGGAACACCGGUGGUGUAGACGGCUCUCUGGACCGUAACUGACGCUGAGACACGAAAGCGUGGGUAGCAAACAGG
RNAcentral lists this ribosomal RNA (254 nucleotides) under uncultured bacterium. Its description in RNAcentral is "partial 16S ribosomal RNA". It matches the Rfam family "Bacterial small subunit ribosomal RNA", at positions 524 to 776 of the family's 1533-position model. The record is from RNAcentral.